ACGAACGCUGGCGGCGUGCUUAACACAUGCCAGUCGAACGGAAAGGCCCUGCUUUUGUGGGGUGCUCGAGUGGCGAACGGGGGAGGAACACGUGAGUAACCUGCCCUUGACUUUGGGAUAACUUCAGGAAACUGGGGCUAAUACCGGAUAGGAGCUCCUGCUGCAUGGUGGGGGUUGGAAAGUUUCGGCGGUUGGGGAUGGACUCGCGGCUUAUCCGCUUGUUGGUGGGGUAGUGGCUUACCAAGGCUUUGACGGGUAGCCGGCCUGGGAGGGGGACCGGCCACAUUGGGACUGGGGUACGGCCCAGACUCCUACGGGAGGCAGCAGUGGGGAAUAUUGCACAAUGGGCGGAAGCCUGAUGCAGCAACGCCGCGUGCGGGAUGACGGCCUUCGGGUUGUAAACCGCUUUCGCCUGUGACGAAGCGUGAGUGACGGUAAUGGGUAAAGAAGCACCGGCUAACUACGUG
RNAcentral lists this ribosomal RNA (467 nucleotides) under uncultured bacterium. RNAcentral describes it as "partial 16S ribosomal RNA". It matches the Rfam family "Bacterial small subunit ribosomal RNA", at positions 29 to 507 of the family's 1533-position model. The record is from RNAcentral.